Molecule: ribosomal RNA, 253 nt
Filed under: uncultured bacterium
Lineage: Bacteria
Description: partial 16S ribosomal RNA
Rfam family: Bacterial small subunit ribosomal RNA
Source: RNAcentral
UACGUAGGUGGCGAGCGUUGUCCGGAUUUACUGGGCGUAAAGGGCGUGCAGGCGGUUUGUUAAGUGCAGGGUGAAAGCUCCCGGCUCAACUGGGAGAGGUCCUUGCAUACUGGCGAACUCGAGGGAGGCAGAGGAAAGUGGAAUUCCCGGUGUAGUGGUGAUAUGCGUAGAUAUCGGGAGGAACACCCGUGGCGAAAGCGGCUCUCUGGAACGGUACUGACGCUGAGACGCGAAAGCGUGGGGAGCGAACAGG